Non-coding RNA from Burkholderia sp. ST111, 92 nucleotides. Lineage: Bacteria; Pseudomonadati; Pseudomonadota; Betaproteobacteria; Burkholderiales; Burkholderiaceae. The record is from Rfam.
UCCAAUGGGCGGGCCUUGGUGGGGGAGCCGCAAGGCUCGCCGGUUCGUUGGAACGCCGGUCUGCUAACCCUACUUCGUGCCCGCUCACCCAC